Molecule: ribosomal RNA, 51 nt
Filed under: Testudinibacter aquarius
Lineage: Bacteria; Pseudomonadati; Pseudomonadota; Gammaproteobacteria; Pasteurellales; Pasteurellaceae
Source: RNAcentral
UGCCGAUGGUAGUGUGGGGUCUCCCCAUGUGAGAGUAGGACACCGCCGGAU